Molecule: long non-coding RNA, 708 nt
Filed under: Gopherus agassizii (Agassiz's desert tortoise)
Lineage: Eukaryota; Metazoa; Chordata; Testudines; Testudinidae
Description: lncRNA (ENSGAGG00000006983.1)
Source: RNAcentral
CAGGACUCUAUGGUGUGAUGGGGCGGCGCUCUAGCUGUCCCUGUCAAGGCUCCUCCCCUCUACAGAACACCGCGUGGGCCACUCCUGCUCUCCCAGCUCCCGGGAGCGCCCCGCCCCGCCCGGAACUACAUCUCCCAUCACCCCGUGAAGUCCCGCGUGCUCUCGCGAGAUGUCUGGCUCCUAGCUUUCCCGUGAUCCCUUGCGGGGCCGCGCUCAGCGGCGGCGUCUCCACGGGGCCCGCGGAAGGUGAGCGCGUCCGCGCGGCGUUCCGACGUGACGUCAUCCCGCGAGGCUGGGCGCUCGCCGCGGUGAUGCGGGUCUCGGGCUGAGCGCGGGAGUUGGGCUGCGUUGCCAUAACAAUGCGCGAUGACGUGUUCCCGCCACAAAAUGGAGUCACGGGGUGACGGAUCUGCAGCAGCCCCUCGAAGAAGCUGGGAGAAGGGACAGGAUCUUGUCCUCACAUCCUCCACACAGGAUCCACGGCAUCUUCCACCGAGGCGUCUCCCAUGGGAAAGUGCGUACAGGGGGUGCUGCCCAAGUAGGCCACAGCCGGGGGACUGCAGGGUGCCAGAGGCUUGCCUGACUUCUUGCUGUCUUGUGCACACGCAUUGCGGACAGGGAGGGGUUAAUUCUGAUCUCUAUUUCCGCCCCCUCCCCCAUCACAGAAGAGAGGAAGGUGGUGCUGUGGUGGGUGGGGGCAGCCUUUGA